CCUAACCGCCCUCUCCACCUUCUCAAUCCUCCCCUCCCACUCCGCCCAAACCUCACUACCACCCAAAACCCCAACUUCCACCCACCGCUUUGCCACCAGCGCACUACGCGCUCGCAGCUCCGCUAUCUCUGCUGCCUGCUGUUCCUGCACCGCUGCCAGUCGGUCCAGACGUGGCUGUAGUUCUAUCAGUGAUGCCGAGAGGGACGCGGGCGGGAUGGGUAGGUCCUUGAGGGAGGUGAGGCGGGAGGCGGUUUCGGGGAAGGCAGAGGCGUAGGAGAGGAUUAUGGAAGUUAGGGCUUGCUGGGAGAGCGUGCUGGGGAUUGCUGGGGGUUGGGGUGAGGAAGAGGAAGACGAAGAGGUGGUGGUGGUGAUGGGGUGGAU
RNAcentral lists this small RNA (381 nucleotides) under Histoplasma ohiense. RNAcentral's name for it is "hypothetical lncRNA". Lineage: Eukaryota; Fungi; Ascomycota; Eurotiomycetes; Onygenales; Ajellomycetaceae. The record is from RNAcentral.